Long non-coding RNA from Acipenser ruthenus (sterlet), 1990 nucleotides. RefSeq lists it as uncharacterized. NCBI's taxonomy places the organism in Eukaryota, Metazoa, Chordata, Actinopteri, Acipenseriformes, Acipenseridae. The transcript is spliced from 4 exons. The record is from RefSeq and is a predicted model, not a curated record.
UUAACUGUCUACUGCGUAUGGAACAGAAAGACAAGCCACAUGCAUUUCAACUAAUGGAUUUUAAGCUUUUAAAUUGGAUUUAUUGGAGGUUCUGUCUACCAAAAAAAAUGAUCAAUUUGAUUUAUUUUUAACAAGAUACACUCUGAUGACUGGUGUGUUGGAUACUGUUCCCACAUGACUCUUUCCUACUGUGCCACCUGCUCGAAUGCAUAGACUGUUUGCAAUUGUGCUGCUCGUGAAUCUUUAUGGUGCUGCCAAAUCUAAUGAGCACAUCUGGAGUGAGCCUACAGUACCAUGAACGCUGCAUGACUGACCUGACAAGCAUUGGGAGCAUACUUUAAAAGACAUUCAGAGAAGACCGACCGGCUUUGUGUCAACUGAUUGACAAUCCUCCACUGCAGAAAACAGAAAACACUUUGAGGAAGCAUAAAUAAUUCACACAGUAUUGCAUCAGUGUUGGUUUCUGGGUGAUUCGUAUUUUUAGAAUCAUUGCAAAAUCACUGACCUCAACUGCAUGUUUGUCACAGUGGACGUACAAAUGUGAAAACAAGUUCUUUACAGUAAAUGGUAUAAAACUGGAUUUUAAUCUGACAAUGGGCGCACAAUUCAACCAAAAUAACCCAGGAAAUAUUGGAAAAGUACAACUUUUUUUUCAUAAGUUCCAAACUUUUUUUUGAAGAACCCAGCUUCAUAAUUUCUGUGGGGAUUCUGUAAUUUCAGAGAUUAUUAUAUAACCAUAAUUCCUAGUAGCGAGACUGCAAUUUGUUUAAGUACAUUUCAGACCUGAUUAGUAUGGUGAUGGUAUGCAUUUUCAUCAUGCUGUCUUGAGUGUUAUUUUGCAGAGGCCCUGUAAUAAUCUGUUUUGCUAAAUUUAACCAGUUCCCAUUUCCCAGUGUUGAAUAGAGAACACGGCCCAUUUAGCAUUUCCUCAAAUUUAUAAUACACUGUAAAUGCUGAGUGAUGUCCUUUGAUCUCCAGAAGCCCGACAUUCAUGGACAGAUUUAUACUAGAAUAUGAUCCUGGGUGACUGGCUGGGGUGGGGGCACACGCUUCCUCUUUACUCGAAGCAUGCAGCAGUGGGGGUUAUAAGUGAUGUCAGAAAAUAGCUUGGGGGAAAAAAGGUGUUUUUGUUCCUCAUAACAUUUUACAGGAACCUUCUGAUAAGGAAGCUUAAGACUGAAAGAUGAACCUUAAUAUGCAUCAUACCCAAAGACUGAAUGCCGUUAGUGAGCACAAGGCGUUCUGUUCGGAUUUUGAAAUGAUUUUAAAUGUGACACCUUUUUAAAUUUCCCAUGUAUAAUUCUCUAUUGCUCUUUCUGCUGAGAUGUGAAUACCAGGCUUACUAACUAAUGUCAUUGUGCUAUUGGGAAGACUCUUAUUGAAAGUGAGUUGGUUUUUAGAAUGGAUUUGCAACUCAUUUAUCAAUCUACUCUUCAGAAACUCAUCUGUUCUGAUGCUGACCUGUGGUUGAAAAUGGAAUUUGCUGGAAUAGUUAAUAGGCAUAGUACUGCUAGGAAUAUAAAUAGUUCAGGAAAUCCUUGAUUAAGUGUCUUUGCCAUAAUUAUGUCCCCAGUUCCUCGUAUGACAGCAAUAACCCGUUUUGUUUCUUUACAGUGUUAACCUUGUGUAGAACAUUGAGCUACUGCUCUAAUGCUAUAGCAAUGUGAGCAUAAGGGCUACCUUGUGGAAAAUCAGUGCCACCUAGUGGCUAUAAAAUCAGCUUCUGCAGUAACAUGAGCUUGAAAGCAAAGGGAAGUUUACGCAUCUGUGCUUUGUACUGCAUAUUGUUCACCACCUCAGUUGUGGAUUUUAUAACCUUGCAAUGCAAACUGUAGUCUUUGCAAGUGUCCACUGCUUUGGACAGACUAACCCUAUUGUGUUAUAGGUGUACAGUGCCUGUAAAUUGCAUUUUAAGUUAUGCAUAAUUUAACUGUUUACAUAAUCUUUCAUGUCACAGAAAGUUGUUGAUACACUGAUGCUAUUAUUAUUA